This is a non-coding RNA of Salmo salar (Atlantic salmon), 893 nucleotides long. The record is from RefSeq and is a predicted model, not a curated record. NCBI's taxonomy places the organism in Eukaryota, Metazoa, Chordata, Actinopteri, Salmoniformes, Salmonidae.
UUCGGUCGUCUUCCGAUAAGAAGCACAAUCUGCCGCUGUCAGCCGGUGUCGUGCCGGUAGAGGUAAAACGAGUGUACAUUUUGACUUCUAAAUAAUCAGAUUUUCGUCAAUUGAUGCCAUGAUUAACUUCACCGAUUUACGAUAAUAGGCUGCCUGCCCUACAGUAGGCCGUUCAGACUCAUUGCAUGGAUAUUUGUGUUAUAAAAUGCCACGUCAAUUUGAAGGAGUUUGCGGAAUUAAAUGAUGAUUCCGAUUGAGAUGUCAUCUGUCAUGGACUGAGCCCUGGUGCAGCUGGCUGCCUGGGCAGAGGAUCCCCGUUGCUAGGGAGACUUCACCACAGAGACGUGGCCCUGAGAGAGCAAAUAGAGGAGGGGCCAGAAGAAACCCUCACCUAGGGUAAACUACACAGACAGGAGAGAGAAGAAGAGGUGGAGAGAGGAGAGAGGUCCAAAGAGGAAGAAAGGACUGAGGGAAGAGAGAAGGAGAGUCUGUCAGUCUCAGGAUGGGUUAUGACCUGGAGAGGUUUGUGGGGUACGUGAACGAGGGGCUUCUGUGCUGUGUGUGUCGGGAUGUGUUGGAGCGCCCCCUCCAGGCCCCUUGUGAACAUGCCUACUGCGAUGCCUGCAUCAGCUCCUGGCUCAUACACCACCACUCCUGCCCUGAGGACAGACUUCCACUGGACAUCAGCACUCUGAGACCACUGCACAGGUACACACACUCCCACAGAAACACCCACGCAGACACAUACACACUCACGCAGAAACACUCACGCAGAAACACUCACGCAGAAACACUCACAUACACACACACACACACACACACUAUAAUAUGGUUAUUCCAACAACCACUGUCUGGUCUGUUAGGUACAUCAAAUCAAAUUUCAAAUCAAAUUU